AAACUUUUUUCAACUCGUAACGACUGUGCUGCAAUCCAAAACAUUGGGCACUACAUAGUAUGGGAACUCGGCCGAUUCAUCUACAUCUGCAAAAGCAAAACAUAUUCAACAGAAGUCAAUUGCUCUGAAGUGUCGCGGUUUUUGCGAUAAAAAUAUUCCAAGAUCUAUAUAUAACGUCGUUAUAAUAGCUUCGAUCUUCGUUAUUGUUGUCAUUGGCAGCUUUCGAGAUGAUUGUUUCCAGAAGUUAUUUCGUUGCAAAACGCAUCUUCUUUACAACUGCAAAAGUGAAUCUGCUUACAGGUAUUACCAGUUCUUAUCCGUUCACAAACGUUUGAUAUGGCCUGAUAGAUGGGCAUAAUAUCCAUAUGGUUUUUCCUUAAUAUUCAUAAAUUCUAU
This is a long non-coding RNA of Drosophila willistoni, 396 nucleotides long. RefSeq lists it as uncharacterized. NCBI's taxonomy places the organism in Eukaryota, Metazoa, Arthropoda, Insecta, Diptera, Drosophilidae. The transcript has 3 exons. The record is from RefSeq and is a predicted model, not a curated record.